RNAcentral lists this long non-coding RNA (1712 nucleotides) under Marmota monax (woodchuck). The record is from RNAcentral. Lineage: Eukaryota; Metazoa; Chordata; Mammalia; Rodentia; Sciuridae.
AUUUAAGUUCUUCUUUUCCUAUUUUUAUGCCUUUAAUUUCUUUUGUCUGUCUAAUUGCUCUGGCCAGUAUUUCGAGAACUAUAUUGAAUAGAAGUGGUGAGAGAGGGCAUCCCUGUCUUGUUCCAGAUUUUAGAGGGAAUGCCUUCAGUUUUUCUCCAUUUAGAAUGAUGCUAGCCUGAGGCUUAGCAUAUAUAGCUUUUACAAUGUUGAGGUAAGUUCCUGUUAUCCCUAGUUUUUCUAAUGUUUUGAACAUAAAGCGAUGCUGUACUUUGUCGAAUGCUUUUUCUGCAUCUAUCGAGAUGAUCAUAUGGUUCUUAUCUUUAAGUCUAUUGAUGUGGUGAAUAACGUUUAUUGAUUUCCGUAUAUGAACCAGCCUUGCAUCCCAGGGAUGAAUCCUACUUGAUCAUGGUGCAUGAUCUUUUUGAUAUGUUUUUGUAUACGAUUUGCCAGAAUUUUAUUGAGGAUUUUUGCAUCUAAAUUCAUUAGGGAUAUUGGUCUGAAGUUUUCUUUCUUUGAGGUGUCUUUAUCUGGUUUGGGAAUCAGGGUGAUAUUGGCUUCAUAGAAUGAAUUUGGAAGUUCUCCCUCUUUUUCUAUCUCCUGAAAUAGAUUGUGGAGUAUUGAUAUUAGUUCUUCUUUAAUUGUAAAACUCUGCUGUAUAUCCAUCCAGUCCUGGGCUUUUCUUGGUUGGUAGUCUUUUGACGGCUUCUUCUAUUUCCUCACUUGAUAUUGGUCUGUUUAGGUUGUUUAUAUCUUCCUGACUCAAUCUGGGUAGUUCAUAUGUCUUAAGGAAUUUAUUGAUGCCUUCAUUAUCUUCUAUUUUAUUAGAGUAUAGGGUUUCAAAAUAAUUUCUAAUUAUCUUCUGUAUUUCUGAAUUGUCUGUUGUGAUGUUGCCUUUUUCAUCCCGUAAGCUAGUAAUUUGGGUUCUCUCUCUUCUUCUCUUUGUUAGCAUGGCUAGUGGUCUAUCAAUCUUAUUUAUUUUUUCAAAGAACCAACUUUUAGUUUUGUCAAUUUUUUCGAUUGUUUCUUUUGUUUCGAUUUCAUUGAUUUCAGCUCUAAUUUUAAUUAUUUCUUGCCUUCUACUGUAUUUGCUGCUGAUUUGUUCUUCUUUUUCUAAGGCUUCGAGGUGUAGUGUGAGGUUAUUUGUUUGUUGGCUUUUGCUUCUUUUAAGGAAUGAACUCCACGAAAUGAAUUUUCCUCUUAGUACUGCUUUCAUAGUGUCCCAGAGAUUUCGAUAUAUUGUGUCUGAGUUUUCAUUUACCUCUAAGAAUUUUUUAAUUUCCUCUUUGAUGUCUUCUGUAACCCUUUGUUCAUUCAGUAGCAUAUUGUUUAAUCUCCAUGUGAUGUAGGAUUUUUCCUUUCUCAUUUUAUUAUUGAUUUCCAAUUUCAUUCCAUUAUGAUCUGAUAAAAUGCAUGGUAGUAUCUCAACUCCUUUGUAAUUGCUAAGAUUUGCCCUGUGACAUAAUAUAUGGUCUAUUUUUGAGAAGGAUCCAUGUGUUGCUGAGAAGAAAGUGUAUCCGCUUGAUGUUGGGUGGUAUAUUCUGUAUAUAUCAAUUAAGUCUAAAUUAUUAAUUGUAUUAUUGAGCUCUAUGGUUUCUUUGUUCAACUUUUGUUUGGAAGAUCUGUCCAGUGGUGAGAGAGGUAUGUUAAAAUCUCCCAUGAUUAUUGUGUUGUGGUCUAUUUGACUCUUGAACUUGAGAAGAGUUUGUUUGAUG